AUGGAUCAAUUAUCACUCCAGGUAAUCAAAAAUAACACUGCUGGAUUUAAUCUUCAUGAUAACGUGGAUGAUAUGGAGUAAAAAAAUGUGUGUGAGGCAACAAUAUUUAUUCCCACAUUUACUCUCUGCAGUCUGACAUUAGUUCAUCACCUCACAUCUG
This is a long non-coding RNA of Etheostoma spectabile (orangethroat darter), 160 nucleotides long. RefSeq lists it as uncharacterized. The record is from RefSeq and is a predicted model, not a curated record. The transcript has 4 exons. Lineage: Eukaryota; Metazoa; Chordata; Actinopteri; Perciformes; Percidae.